GAUGAACGCUGGCGGCGUGCCUAAUACAUGCAGGUCGAGCGAACAGACGAGGAGCUUGCUCCUCUGACGUUAGCGGCGGACGGGUGAGUAACACGUGGAUAACCUACCUAUAAGACUGGGAUAACUUUGGGAAACCGGAGCUAAUACCGGAUAAUAUAUUGAACCGCAUGGUUCAAUAGUGAAAGACGGUUUUGCUGUCACUUAUAGAUGGAUCCGCGCCGCAUUAGCUAGUUGGUAAGGUAACGGCUUACCAAGGCAACGAUGCGUAGCCGACCUGAGAGGGUGAUCGGCCACACUGGAACUGAGACACGGUCCAGACUCCUACGGGAGGCAGCAGUAGGGAAUCUUCCGCAAUGGGCGAAAGCUUGACGGAGCAACGCCGCGUGAGUGAUGAAGGUCUUCGGAUCGUAAAACUCUGUUAUUAGGGAAGAACAAAUGUGUAAGUAACUAUGCACGUCUUGACGGUACCUAAUCAGAAAGCCACGGCUAACUACGUG
Molecule: ribosomal RNA, 497 nt
Filed under: uncultured bacterium
Lineage: Bacteria
Description: partial 16S ribosomal RNA
Rfam family: Bacterial small subunit ribosomal RNA
Source: RNAcentral